GGUCUAGGGAUAGGUCUGCUAUGAUGCGCCAUCUGCCGUAGAUCAAGAACAAUGUUAAAGAAGUAUAUACAAUAAUUAAAUAUAAAAUUUUUGGGUUAUAGAUGCAUCAAUAGGUUAAAUUUUAAGAAAAUCCUAAAAUCCUAAGGAAUCAACUGGGAUUUAAACAUUACAACUUAAUUAUAGAGAAGAAAUAGAGGGAAGAUUAGGGCUC
RNAcentral lists this long non-coding RNA (211 nucleotides) under Elaeis guineensis (African oil palm). RNAcentral describes it as "long non-coding RNA (EGUI_LNC001776)". The record is from RNAcentral. Lineage: Eukaryota; Viridiplantae; Streptophyta; Magnoliopsida; Arecales; Arecaceae.